RNAcentral lists this non-coding RNA (29 nucleotides) under Mus musculus (house mouse). The record is from RNAcentral. Lineage: Eukaryota; Metazoa; Chordata; Mammalia; Rodentia; Muridae.
UGUCAAAAACUGGAUGUGAAAAGAUGAUG